This is a non-coding RNA of Paramuricea clavata, 576 nucleotides long. The record is from the annotation of a GenBank genome assembly. NCBI's taxonomy places the organism in Eukaryota, Metazoa, Cnidaria, Anthozoa, Malacalcyonacea, Plexauridae.
ACUUACCAAGCGAACCAGUUUCAUUUUCAAAGAGCCCGAGUGCAAAUGCCAUUGCACUUUGCGAAGUGCGUCGUUUAUCCCUCGCAAUGAAUUUAUAGUAUUUAUUCCAAUACUGUUUAUCAAAUACUUCGGGAAAAUGUAAACGCCAGCGUUUCGCGAUCUCAUACUGUUCGUGCUCCCCGCGUGGAGAUAAUUCACUGGAUUUUGCGACAUUCCACGCGAGCCAUCUCUUCCAUGGUAGCGUCAGGUUUUUGUAACGAAAUGGUGAACUUGUUUUGUAAACGUCGUCUAGUUUUUUUAAAAGCUUCUUUAUCUUUUCCCGAUCACCACUGCUAGGAAAUCGCGAACCGUGUCGCGAGAUGUAAUCGAUAUGAACUGGCCUGCAUCCUUUCGGGUAUUCUGGCGAAAGUUUUGAUGGCUGGUAGUUAUAAACUGUUUUGCUUCCGAAAUAAAGCGACUUCGACUGUUCCGUUUCUUCAAAAUACUGCGCGAGAAAUAGCAGGAGAAUGAUAUGAAAGAUCGCCAUAUUUUUUAGACUUUAUCUUCGAAGCGACCGCUUGAGUAAACAAAUCGAUA